RNAcentral lists this transfer RNA (72 nucleotides) under Cavia porcellus (domestic guinea pig). It matches the Rfam family "tRNA". Rfam says of the family: Transfer RNA (tRNA) molecules are approximately 80 nucleotides in length. Their secondary structure includes four short double-helical elements and three loops (D, anti-codon, and T loops). Further hydrogen bonds mediate the characteristic L-shaped molecular structure. tRNAs have two regions of fundamental functional importance: the anti-codon, which is responsible for specific mRNA codon recognition, and the 3' end, to which the tRNAs corresponding amino acid is attached (by aminoacyl-tRNA synthetases). tRNAs cope with the degeneracy of the genetic code in two manners: having more than one tRNA (with a specific anti-codon) for a particular amino acid; and 'wobble' base-pairing, i.e. permitting non-standard base-pairing at the 3rd anti-codon position. Lineage: Eukaryota; Metazoa; Chordata; Mammalia; Rodentia; Caviidae. The record is from Rfam by way of RNAcentral.
GGGGAUUUAGCUCAAUAGUAGAGUGCUUGCCUAGCAAGUGUGAAGGUCUGAGUUUGAUUCUCAGCAACGUUA